CAGUCGCCGCGGUAAUACGUAGGUGGCGAGCGUUGUCCGGAUUUAUUGGGCGUAAAGGGAGUGUAGGCGGUCUUUUAAGUCUGAUGUGAAAGCCCCCGGCUCAACCGGGGAGGGUCAUUGGAAACUGGGAAACUUGAGUGCAGAAGAGGAGAGUGGAAUUCCACGUGUAGCGGUGAAAUGCGUAGAGAUGUGGAGGGACACCAGUGGCGAAGGCGACUCUCUGGUCUGUAACUGACGCUGAGGAGCGAAAGCGUGGGGAGCGAACAGGAUUAGAUACCCCCGUAGUCCCUGUCUCUUAUAC
RNAcentral lists this ribosomal RNA (301 nucleotides) under uncultured bacterium. RNAcentral's name for it is "partial 16S ribosomal RNA". It matches the Rfam family "Bacterial small subunit ribosomal RNA", at positions 509 to 807 of the family's 1533-position model. The record is from RNAcentral.